This is a long non-coding RNA of Equus caballus (horse), 4811 nucleotides long. The record is from Ensembl. Lineage: Eukaryota; Metazoa; Chordata; Mammalia; Perissodactyla; Equidae.
CUUCUUUAGGAGUUUAAGUUCAUGUAGAGGGAGGCAGGAAGGAAGCCUCUCCCUGAUCCCGGCGAGCUGCCCCUUGCACUAGGCCUUGUGCUGUAUGAGGUCCCACUCUAGCCAUGGGUGGAGCCAAUGAAACAAUUCCACCUCAAGCACAUUGCCCCCAUCCUUUCUCCAGGCUUCUAGAAUAGGAAUUCCUCCCUCAAUGGUUCCAGCAGCUUCCCAGGCAUGGAUUGGCCUCUUUCCAGUUCCAGCCCCUUAGAGCAGAUAACAUUGACCUCGUAAGCUCUGCCAGGCCUGUGGAUUGGGUGGGGGGAGCAGUUUAAGAAAGUGGUUGUGGAUAGAGCUUGGGUGUGUGGACUGUGGUGUCCAUGUGCAUGUAGCUCCUCUCAGUCAUGAUGGAAAUGUGAAUGGGAAGAAAGGAGAGAGCAAGUUACAGUCCAGGGGUUUCCAUUCGUAGUCUCGACCUGACCCAAAUCUGUUGUGAGUGGGUUUGAGCAUAGGUAAUUAGAUAAGCACACUGAAGGGAAGAAACCUUAGGUAUUAGUGCACCCGCAAACUAGAUUGCUCAGGGAAAGCUUCCCAGAGGAACUGACUUGUAAGGUAAGUACUGAAGACUGAGGAGCAGGAAGAGCAUUUUAGGGAUAGGGACCAGCGAGGUAAAGUGAAAGAGUGCAGCUCAUUGAAAGACCUGAAGGUUCAAUAUGCUCUACAGUUUCUUUGAGAUCAAAGCCAAGGAGAACUCAGUCUACUGGCUGAACUUGGCAUAUUCGCGAAGCUGGUUCUACUUUUUUCCUCUCUGUUGAUGGAAUAAGCAAAGAUUGUCUCAUUUUAAUUUUUCUCUGACUUUGAAAGAGCAAUAACUUUAGGAUUGACACUCCAUAAAGCAUCCUUCUGAGCCCUAGAGGCCUUCAACCCCUCUUCCUCAGCUCCUUUAUCUCCCUUUCCCAGAGUCCUUACGCUCUCAAAGGACAGAAAUGUUGGUCUUCCAGUAGGCCCUGGGAUAUAUUGAUUCCUACUCAGUCUUUCCCUCACAGCUGGUGGCUGAGUAUGUCUGCUCAAUGACUGUGACGUGAGCUAAUGACUUGGAGAGGUAUAAUGGGGGAAGGAAGGUGUAACGGGAAAGGAAAGCUGCAUGGGGAAGGAAGCUGUGCCAUGCACAGCCUUGUGAGGAGCAGACUGAAGCUGGUGUGAUGUAUAAGAGGGCCUGGAAGGGCGGUAAGAGGAGUAGAGGGGCUGCCCAGGGAAGAACAGAAGUGAUGGAUAGUGAGAACUUUUGUAGAUCUCGUUGACACCCUAAUUGGCGUGGAAGACAUUAUGGCAUUGGUAGGAGGUAGAUUUUGUAGAAACUAUAGCCUGAAGGGGUAUUAACUGUUUCUAUCUUGUGUCUCCAAUCCUGGCACAGAAACUGGGAAAGGGCAAGUUCCGUAACUAAGGAAUAGGCAAUCGCUACCGUGAAGGGUAAAAUCAAAAGGUAUUGUUUCAGAAUUUACCAGAAUAUGGUCAUUGCUACUCCAGACACCAUCUCUUUUCUGUGUAUGAGCUUGGAGAGUGAGACUAUUGUGAAAAUGACAAAUAGAAAUCUACAGUAUGAGCAUCUGACCCGAUUUAAUCACUGGAGCAACCAAUCCUGCCCCAUAUCGCAGUCACUUCCCCCUUUUCAGUGUUAUCCAUAUAUCCUCAAGUCCCUGAGAGAGUCUCUUGAAAUUAAUUUCCACUCUUCUCUUUAACUGAACUUCCACAUAAUUUGUUUUGUAUGCUUAUUAGCUGAGCAUGAAAUCCACAUUUAUUUUUAGUCCCCCAAUUUGUCAAUUAAAUGCUUUCCUAUGUCCAAUUUCUACCAAAUAAAAAUAUAGAAAUCUCUACUGAGGAGACAUUUUUGGAAUUGUCCUACUAACAGCUCUCUUAGUAACCUUUUAGAAUCAGAUCCCCUUCAUCUUCUGAAACCUAGUGCACUGACAUGUUAAAAGUGUCUCGGCGUAUAGCCUGUGGGAAAAAUAGGUUCAGAUCCGUACAAACAUGUUCAGAAUAUGGAGCAUUUAUCUUAGGAAUAAUGCAUUUAGUAAAAGAGAGAUGGAGAUUUUAAAUAAAAUGCCUACUUGAUCAGUAAUGUACAUUUUUAUAAUUCCUAGGUCAGGAAUCCCCAGAAGGAUUUGAGAUGAAGUUACUUUUGCUUUUCAGGGAGGACAGCAGUGGGUCAGAGAGUGGGGAGGGAGUAGCCAGUGAGGAUGAAGUCCAACUGUGGAGAGGGCUACUCAGACCAAAUUACUUGAGGUUGCUUGCUUCCUGCUAGGAAUCUUGGUAAAUCUCAAAGAAGCCAUAUGGAACUGGACAUUGGCUAGAUCUCUUACCAAGAAGGCUUCUUGACUUACCCACAAUUUCUGAUGUCAUCCCCAGGGCUGCCUGCUCUAGGCAAAUGUCAGGGCUAACUUACAUGGUUGUCCUGAAGGAAGCUUGCUUGGGGUGCUUCUUCAGGAAGGGACUAUGCUGUAUCCGAUGAAAAAUUAGCCCAUGCAUUCAAAUUAAUUCUUCUUCAGCAAUCUAAAGAAGUAGUGACCCUCCAAUGGACUAAUUGACUAGUUUAUUUAAGGGAAAUGUAGACUCAGGAGAUCCUAUCACGCUGAAAGGAAGGGAAAACUGCAACCUGAAAACAGAAAUUUGUUUUUGCUUUAAAAUUUACAAAACAGUUUUACAAGUACAACAUUUAGCAUAAAAAUAAGAAUCAUAGUUGAGUUAAUUCUGCAUUGUUUGUGCAUAUGAGAGGCACUAGGGUAAGAUAUUAGUGUGGCAAAUCAAAGCCUCUCCCACUCCCACUUCUGGUUCCUAUUUCUUGGUGUUUCAGGCCUUUGUACAUUUCCUUCUUGCAUCAAGAAUACCUCUUCUCUCCCUGUCCAUCUGGUAAACCUCCACUCACGUGUAAAGCUCAGCUCAUGCCUCCCCUCCUUAGCGGAACAGUCCCUGGCCAAGUUCCUCUCUGCAGAAGUUGGCUGCCAUCCUUUUGGCUCUCAGGGUGGCUCUAUGUUGGUUACCCUACAUCAUGUUGUGGAAAUGUUUCCUCAAGUAUUAGACUGUGCACUUCAUUUAGGUGGGGAUUGGAUUUUAUGAUUAUGUUCAUUUUCGUAACUACCCUGCAUGCAACACAGAACCUGAAAACUGGUAAGAGUUAAAUAAGAGUUUCUUGGGUAAAAAUAAACAAAUGCUUACUGCAAAAAUCUCUUGAGGUUGGUACUGCCACCAUCAACAUCUUACUGAUGGAGAAAUGGAGGCAAAGGGAAGUUAAGUGACUUUCCCAAGCUAACACAUCCAGAGACUGCAUUUUUAGUCAUUCCAAUGUAAGGAAAUGUCCAUGAAUCAUCAGGGAGAUAAAGCUGUGCUUGACCGGAUGCUGACAUCAGAUCUCAUUUUAUGGUGGUUUUUUACUUGAAACCCUCAAUCCUACAGUUAGUUAAUAAUUUAAAAGUCAUAUGGACAUAAAAUGCUGCAGAUGUACCCUAGGUCAGUGGGUCCUGAACAUCACUUGUAUCUAUAAAGAACCAUUUCUUGGGAUAUGUAGAGUGGGACUAAUCCUAUCGUUUUCCAGCUUCAAUGCCAGUUUAACGUUACUAACACUAGGUUAAAAUGAAUAGCUAAGACAGCCUUGAAAUGGAAACAUAAACGUAAAGAUGCAGCAGCUUAGGGUUUGCAGGGUAAGCAGGCAUUUGGACAUGGACAGUGGUGCCCAGUAUUGGUCUGGAUGCUGUGGUUGAAAGAUUAACUGUAUUUAUAGGAUGUAUAAUAUUUUGUGAACGUGAGAGGUAGAGAGAGAACAAGGGAGAGUGCCAGCUAUUAAGGGAGUUUGCAUGUGUGUGUGCAUGUUAUGGACUGAAUGUGUCCCCUCCAAAUUCAUAUGUUGAGGCUCUACCCCCCCACGCUGAUGGAAUUUGGCAGUGGGGUUUUGGGGAGGUAGUUAGGUUUAGAUGAGGUCAUGAAGGUGGGUCCUGGGACUAUCAUCCUUCUAAGAAGAGAAAAGGACACCAGCACACUCUCUCUGCCAUGCAAGGACACUACAAGAAGGCUGCUGUCUGCAAGCUAGGAAGAGAGUCCUCACUGGGCACUGAAUCAGCUGGCACCUUGAUCUUGGACUUCUCAGUCUUCAGAACUGUGAGAAACAAAUGUCUGUUGUUGAAACCACCCAUUCUGUGGUAUUUACAGCCUGAGCUGACUAAGACAGCGAGUAUGUGUGUGAGGUGGCCCCCUCGUCAGGUCAGGAGGUAGGGUAGCAACAGGAGAAAUGGUAGGGUGAGAGGGGCAAGGUUCACUUGAAGUUUCCUUGGGAAGAAUGUAACUCAGUCUGGGAGCCAAGGCUUAAGGCAGAGAGUGAACUCAAGGGCCACAGGGCCCAGUGGUAAUGGAGUGAGUCCUGCAGCCCGGAGGUGAACAGGAGGAACAUGCGCAGGACUGAGGAGGGCAGGCCCUGCUGCUACUCAGCUCCAGUCUCGUGCUGCAAUACUAGAAAGCAGGCCCAUGCUGCCAAAGAGAAGCUGGGAAUGUGGACUUUUAUAUGAAUCUCCUGAUUUUUUAAAAGUUGAUGGUUGGUUAAAUUUUUUCCUAAACAUUGUAAAAGCCAAAUAAAACUGUGAUACUAAAUUUUCCUUAGGACAAUCCAUGAGACCUCUAUCUUGGUGACUUAGUUCUGGUAUGGUCAUAGGUGAUACGGGAGAAAGAGCAUCCCAAGUGGAGACACCAGCACUGGGAAAGGUACAGAGGCAGGAAAGAGCCUUGGGGACAACUGGAGCACAAAUUAAGCAUGGAAGCCAGUGACAACAGAGAUAGCAGAG